CAGCAGCCACGGUAAUACGGAGGGAGCUAGCGUUGUUCGGAAUUACUGGGCGUAAAGCGCACGUAGGCGGCUUUGUAAGUCAGAGGUGAAAGCCUGGAGCUCAACUCCAGAAUUGCCUUUGAGACUGCAUCGCUUGAAUCCAGGAGAGGUGAGUGGAAUUCCGAGUGUAGAGGUGAAAUUCGUAGAUAUUCGGAAGAACACCAGUGGCGAAGGCGACUUUCUGGUCUGUAACUGACGCUGAUGUGCGAAAGCGUGGGGAUCAAACAGGAUUAGAUACCCCAGUAGUCCCUGUCUCUUAUAA
This 301-nucleotide ribosomal RNA is filed under the name uncultured bacterium. Its description in RNAcentral is "partial 16S ribosomal RNA". It matches the Rfam family "Bacterial small subunit ribosomal RNA", at positions 509 to 809 of the family's 1533-position model. The record is from RNAcentral.